AAAGGAAUAGACGGGGGCCCGCACAAGCGGCGGAGCAUGUGGCUUAAUUCGACGCAACGCGAAGAACCUUACCAGGGUUUGACAUGCUCGCGAAAACCGUGGAAACACGGUCCUCCUUCGGGACGCGUGCACAGGUGGUGCAUGGCUGUCGUCAGCUCGUGUCGUGAGAUGUUGGGUUAAGUCCCGCAACGAGCGCAACCCUUAUCGCAUGUUGCCAGCGGGUUAUGCCGGGAACUCAUGCGAGACUGUCGGUGUCAAACCGGAGGAAGGUGGGGAUGACGUCAAGUCAUCAUGCCCCUUAUGCCCUGGGCUGCACACGUGCUACAAUGGCCGGUACAGAGGGCUGCGAUACCGCGAGGUGGAGCGAAUCCCAAAAAGCCGGUCUAAGUUCGGAUUGGAGGCUGCAACUCGCCUUCAUGAAGUCGGAGUCGCUAGUAAUCGCGAAUCAGCAAUGUCGCGGUGAAUACGUUCCCGGGCCUUGUACACACCGCCCGU
Molecule: ribosomal RNA, 495 nt
Filed under: uncultured bacterium
Lineage: Bacteria
Description: bacterial SSU rRNA
Rfam family: Bacterial small subunit ribosomal RNA
Source: RNAcentral